AAUAUAUGAAAAGCAUUUUUGAGAUGAUUCGUGCUAGCCAGCGACCUUUGUCUGAAAAAGAGAAAGAAAUUGAAGAUGCUACUUGCUUAUCUUGGGAACAAUUACUUUUUUGUCUUGAAGAAGCUUCCAACUUCUUGGUCUAUAAAAUUC
This is a long non-coding RNA of Xenia sp. Carnegie-2017, 150 nucleotides long. RefSeq lists it as uncharacterized. The transcript has 3 exons. The record is from RefSeq and is a predicted model, not a curated record. NCBI's taxonomy places the organism in Eukaryota, Metazoa, Cnidaria, Anthozoa, Malacalcyonacea, Xeniidae.